GCAACCCUGACGGAGCAAGACCGCGUGGGGGAGGAAGGCCUUAGGGUUGUAAACCUCUUUUAUAUGGGAAGAAAAUACUGACGGUACCAUAUGAAUCAGCCUCGGCUAACUCCGUGCCAGCAGCCGCGGUAAUACGGAGGAGGCAAGCGUUAUCCGGAUUUAUUGGGCGUAAAGAGUCCGCAGGUGGCAAUUCCAGUCUGCUGUCAAAGACAGUAGCUCAACUACUGAUAGGCAGUGGAAACUGAAUCGCUAGAGAACGGUAGGGGCAGAGGGAAUUCCCGGUGUAGCGGUGAAAUGCGUAGAUUUCGGGAAGAACAUCGGCGGCGAAAGCGCUCUGCUGGACCGUAUCUGACACUCAGGGACGAAAGCUAGGGGAGCG
RNAcentral lists this ribosomal RNA (379 nucleotides) under uncultured cyanobacterium. RNAcentral's name for it is "bacterial SSU rRNA". It matches the Rfam family "Bacterial small subunit ribosomal RNA", at positions 377 to 770 of the family's 1533-position model. The record is from RNAcentral. Lineage: Bacteria; Bacillati; Cyanobacteriota.